Molecule: ribosomal RNA, 281 nt
Filed under: uncultured Acidobacteriota bacterium
Lineage: Bacteria; Pseudomonadati; Acidobacteriota
Description: uncultured Acidobacteria bacterium partial 16S ribosomal RNA
Rfam family: Bacterial small subunit ribosomal RNA
Source: RNAcentral
UGGGGAAUCUUGCACAAUGGAGGCAACUCUGAUGCAGCGACGCCGCGUGAGCGAUGAAGCCUUCGGGUGUGAAGCUCUUUCGACGGGAAAGAUUAUGACGGUACCCGGAGAAGAAGCUGCGGCUAACUACGUGCCAGCAGCCGCGGUAAUACGUAGGCAGCGAGCGUUGUUCGGAAUUACUGGGCGUAAAGAGUGUGUAGGCGGUCUGAAUAGUCUGCUGUGAAAGCGCCUGGCUUAACCGGGCGAGGUCGGCGGAAACUCUCAGACUGGAGGCCGGUAGA